UACGUAGGGGGCGAGCGUUGUCCGGAUUUAUUGGGCGUAAAGAGCGUGUAGGCGGCCAGGUAGGUCUGCUGUGAAAACUCGGGGCUUAACUCCGGGCCUGCAGUGGGUACGGGCAGACUAGAGUGCGGUAGGGGAGACUGGAAUUCCUGGUGUAGCGGUGAAAUGCGCAGAUAUCAGGAGGAACACCGGUGGCGAAGGCGGGUCUCUGGGCCGUAACUGACGCUGAGGAGCGAAAGCGUGGGGAGCGAACAGG
RNAcentral lists this ribosomal RNA (253 nucleotides) under uncultured bacterium. RNAcentral's name for it is "partial 16S ribosomal RNA". It matches the Rfam family "Bacterial small subunit ribosomal RNA", at positions 524 to 776 of the family's 1533-position model. The record is from RNAcentral.